This 199-nucleotide ribosomal RNA is filed under the name uncultured Acidovorax sp. RNAcentral's name for it is "partial 16S ribosomal RNA". It matches the Rfam family "Bacterial small subunit ribosomal RNA", at positions 334 to 525 of the family's 1533-position model. Lineage: Bacteria; Pseudomonadati; Pseudomonadota; Betaproteobacteria; Burkholderiales; Comamonadaceae. The record is from RNAcentral.
UACUCCUACGGGAGGCAGCAGUGGGGAAUUUUGGACUAUGGGCGCAAGCCUGAUCCAGCAAUGCCGCGUGCAGGAUGAAGGCCUUCGGGUUGUAAACUGCUUUUGUACGGAACGAAAAAGCUCUCUCUAAUACAGGGGGUGAAUGACGGUACCGUAAGAAUAAGCACCGGCUAACUACGUGCCAGCAGCCGCGGUAAUA